This 939-nucleotide ribosomal RNA is filed under the name Funneliformis mosseae. RNAcentral describes it as "LSU rRNA". It matches the Rfam family "Eukaryotic large subunit ribosomal RNA", at positions 1 to 779 of the family's 3401-position model. The record is from RNAcentral. Lineage: Eukaryota; Fungi; Glomeromycota; Glomeromycetes; Glomerales; Glomeraceae.
GACCUCAAAUCAGGUAAGAAUACCCGCUGAACUUAAGCAUAUCAAUAAGCGGAGGAAAAGAAAAUAACAAUGAUUCCCUCAGUAACGGCGAGCGAAGAGGGAUAAGCUCAAAUUUUAAAUCUGUUGGGUUCCACUUAACAGAGUUGUAUUUUGAAGAAACGUUUUCUGCAUCCAGGAUUAGCCUAAAUCCUUUGGGAUAAGGUAUCAUGGAGGGUGAGAAUCCCGUUCAUGGUUAAUCUUAAGGAAGCUCUACGAUACGUUUUCCAAGAGUCGAGUUGUUUGGGAUUGCAGCUCAAAAUGGGAGGUAAAUUUCUCCUAAGGCUAAAUAUUGGCGAGAGACCGAUAGCGAACAAGUACCGUGAGGGAAAGAUGAAAAGAACUUUGAAAAGAGAGUUAAACAGUACGUGAAAUUGUUGAAAGGGAAACGAUUGAAGUCAGUCAUACCAACGGGAAAUCAACCUUUUGAGCUUGGUCUCGUGGGUUUUGAAGAGUUUCAAAGCCUUCGGAUUCGCGGGAUUGGGAUUUCUUGGUGUACUUUUUCGUACGGUUAGUCAACAUCGGUUUUGAAUGUCAUAAAAUGACUGGAGGAAUGUAGCUUCGAUCUCGUAUUGAAGUGUUAUAGCCUUUGGUAGAUGUGAUGUUUGAGACCGAGGAUUGCAACGGAUACCCUUCAGGGCUAUUCGUCUGAUCUCUGAUACGUUGCCUUGAUGUUGAAAGCUUGCUUAUGAUGUUAGGGUAUUACGGUCAAAAGGUUAGAACGAAUUACAUUCGUUAAGGAUGUUGACGUAAUGACUUUAAACGACCCGUCUUGAAACACGGACCAAGGAGUCUAACAUAUAUGCGAGUGUUUGGGUGAUUAAACCCUUGCGCGUAAUGAAAGUAAUUUUGGUGAGAUCCGGGAAAAAAUUUUCGGAGCAUCAUCGACCGAUCAGGAUAUUU